Molecule: long non-coding RNA, 1987 nt
Filed under: Homo sapiens (human)
Lineage: Eukaryota; Metazoa; Chordata; Mammalia; Primates; Hominidae
Description: non-protein coding lnc-GDF11-1:2
Source: RNAcentral
CCGCCGGCCUCCCUCAUGUGACGCGGUAACAGCUGCGGCCUGAGUCACUGGGCCCGGCGCGGGGUGGGCCGAGCCCCCCGCCCGGCCAGGGCCACGUGGCCCCUACCCGGAAGAAGGCGCCCACCCCCGCAAAGGGAAAGCCGCAAGGGCAAGACCUCGGGGCGCCUGGGGCCCCCCUCUGGCGCUAUACCUCCGUGCCAACUCGGGGUAGGAGAGCGGGGCGGAGCGCAGCCUGGGUCACUCUGGUUCAGAGAAGCGGACGAGGUGGGUGAGAGUUACCCUCUGAGCGCCGGGGCGGAGAGCUGAGGCCGGGUGACAAUGUGGUCUGUGAGGUUUCCCCAUCCUACCGUAGGGGAUGAGCCAGCUCUCUCCUCUGGCUCCAACUCUGUGCAAGCCCCCUCCCCAUCCGACUGUGCAGACAGCUGGGGACUGCCUGGGGUCGGGUGGGGCCAGAACAAACACUUCCAGAAAGUCCCUGGCUCACAUCCUGGGUGUCUCCCAACAUUCUACAGCAUUCUAGAGUGGGGAUUUCUGGCCCCCCUCUAUUAGCACAGCUUCUCCAUUUUCCAGGGAUCCUAGUCUGAGAAAAGGGGAGGAAGCCCUUCCCCGAAGCCACGCUACCCAGUCAAUCAAGACACGUCCGCGUCGGGUCCCGCCCUCUGGGGGAGGAUUGACAAGGUCUGUGCUUCCAGCCUCCCAGACAGCUCCUGCAUCCGUCUGUGAUAGCGAGGGCUUGGGGGAAGACACGAAGGCAGGAGAGGCUUACAUCCUCUGGAUUUCCCCGUCUUAUCCCAGAAGACAAAGCCAGGUGAGGGCUGGAAGCGGGCUAGGGGGAUCAAGCUGCCUCCCUCCCUUGUGUGCCAGGGGUGGUCCCCAGAAGGAGCUGAUCUGAACAGGCCGGAGAGUAGGACCGGCCGUCACACCCCCACACCUCCAGCCUCGGCCCCACUCCUUGGGCUCUUAAGGUCCUGCCUCAAGAACCACUUCCUGAGUCUUAGUGUAUGUGUGUACACAAAGAAUGAAAGAAGUCUCUAGAGCUAAAGGAAGGAGAUCCGGGCUGGGCUGAGAAGCAUCUUCCAGGAUCACGGCCUUCCCGCGGGACACACCAAGCCCAUUCCGGAUCUUGCUCUUCCUGACCAUGGCUGGCAGGCUGUGGAGGAGGAGCGGAGAGCAGAAGAAAGGAGUAUUCAUCAGGUUCCUUAUUGUGCUGCCACUAGAUGCCAGGCAUGUGCUAGGCUUGGGGGCUGCAAGGAGAGGAAGACAGCGGCCCUGCCCUCUGCUAGCAGGCAGAACCGAGUUCUGGCCACACUGUGAAGAAAGGCAGAAGCCUGCGGUGGCAGCUGGUUAAGCUCAGAGGGAGGGAAAGGGAGAGGAGAAUGGAUUUCACGGAGCAGAAGGAUGUGCUCAAGGUGACCUUGGAGAAUAAAGGGGAGAGCUCCAGGGACAGAGAAGCAGUCGACUGUGGAAAAAAAAGGAGCAUUUUGUAAAGUACAUGGCAGGUUGGGGUUGGCUGGCUCAAAGGGCUUGGGACGGAUGUGGUGAGAUGGGCUGAAGGUGGUCUGAAGAUCAAGAUUGAGAGACUAGAUACAUAACAACCAACUGCAAUGUUUGGUCCUUCAUUGAAUGGUUGAACAAACCAGCUGUGAAAGACAUUUUGGGACAUACAGACAUGGACUGAGAAUUAGACAUAAGAAAAUUAUUUUGUUAACUGUUAUCAUGGUUAACAAAACGGUCAUAUAAUAUGAUUAUGUAGAGAAGUUACUCUAGUUUUUCCUCUUUUUUUUUCUUUAUUCUCCUAUCAGCCAAUGCAUUUGUUACAGGAAAGGGGUCCCAAUCCAGACCACAAGAGAGGGUUCUUGGAUCUCAUGCAAGAAAGAUUCAGGGCGAGUCGCAGUGCAAAGUAUAAGCAAGUUUAUUAAGAAAGUAAAGUGGUGAAACAACAGCUGCUCCAUAGACAGAGUAGGAUGUUCCCCAAAGUAAGAGGAGG